This 481-nucleotide ribosomal RNA is filed under the name uncultured bacterium. RNAcentral's name for it is "bacterial SSU rRNA". It matches the Rfam family "Bacterial small subunit ribosomal RNA", at positions 903 to 1397 of the family's 1533-position model. The record is from RNAcentral.
AAAUGAAUAGACGGGGCCCCGCACAAGCAGCGGAGCGUGUGGUUUAAUUCGAUGAUACACGAAGAACCUUACCAGGGUUUGACAUGCUAGUGGUAGGGAUCCGAAAGGUGACCGACCCCUCGGGGAGCUAGCACAGGUGCUGCAUGGCUGUCGUCAGCUCGUGUCGUGAGAUGUUCGGUUAAGUCCGCUAACGAGCGCAACCCCUGCUGUGUGUUACAUGUGUCACACGGGACUGCCGGUCUUAAACCGGAGGAAGGUGGGGAUGACGUCAAGUCAGCAUGGCCUUUAUGUCCUGGGCUACACACACGCUACAAUGGCCGGUACAAUAGGUUGCGAAGCCGCGAGGCGGAGCCAAUCCUCAAAGCCGGCCUCAGUUCAGAUUGCAGGCUGCAACCCGCCUGCAUGAAGAUGGAGUUGCUAGUAACCGCAGGUCAGCUAUACUGCGGUGAAUACGUUCCCGGGGCUUGUACACACCGCCCGU